RNAcentral lists this ribosomal RNA (413 nucleotides) under uncultured bacterium. RNAcentral's name for it is "bacterial SSU rRNA". It matches the Rfam family "Bacterial small subunit ribosomal RNA", at positions 505 to 916 of the family's 1533-position model. The record is from RNAcentral.
GUGCCAGCCGCCGCGGUAAGACGAGGGAUCCUAGCGUUGUUCGGAAUUAUUGGGCGUAAAGCGGGUGUAGGCGGAUCUGUAAGUCAGGUGUGAAAUCCCAGGGCUCAACCCUGGAAGUGCACUUGAUACUGCUGAUCUUGAGUGUGGUAGAGGUUACUGGAAUUCCUGGUGUAGUGGUAAAAUACGUAGAUAUCAGGAGGAAUACCGGAGGCGAAGGCGAGUAACUGGGCCAACACUGACGCUGAGACCCGAAAGCGUGGGGAUCAAACAGGAUUAGAUACCCUGGUAGUCCACGCCGUAAACGAUGGAUACUUGUUGUUAGAGGUAUUGACCCCUCUAGUGACGCAGCUAACGCGUUAAGUAUCCCGCCUGGGGAGUACGGUCGCAAGAUUAAAACUCAAAGGAAUUGACGG